UCCCACUUAGUGGGGUCUGGGGGGGGUAAGAUGUACGCAGUCCAUACCUCUACCUCUGAUGAAGUAGAAAGGCUGUUUCCGAAAGACCCCCGACUCAAGUUACGAGAUAUCACACAAACACAUAGUACAGCACAGCAGCAGAUGACAUAACAUAAAUACGGCACCCAUAGGGAAUAUAAAACAGAGUAAAGCGGGAAUGCAGGAAUAUAAAGCAGAGGAAAGCACACAGAUUCGUAAUAAACAUGGAACACGGAACACGAAACACUGAAACAUCUACUAUAUAUACAUAAAAAAUAAUUUUAAUCAUGUAUAUAGUAUAAUUUUCAAUUUCCAAGUUAAGAGUAUUGUAGAGCUGCAGGCCUUAAGAUGUAAAGGUGGAUGAACAAAUUAUAGCAGUCUAAUAUCUUAAGAUGUAUAGAUGAACAUAUGCAAAAUAUAUAUCCCCAAUUAAAGAAGGUAAAUUGAACGUCCAGAGAUGGUCAUGCCAUUUGCCUUAAUGAGAAACUGCCUUAUAUAAGAAGUGGAGAAACUGCCAUUAAAUGUUAAGAUUGAUGCUCUCUUAUAUGGAGCGGGUCAGUCCACACAUCCAGCGCAACAUCCGCAUUUCUGCCACCUUCAUUUUUUGGAUGUGGGAGUUCUUAACUGGCCAACACUCCGCUCCAUACAGCAAGGCCGGACGGACUACCACCCUAUAGAAUUUGCCUUUAAGCUUGGGCGGCACCUUCUUAUCACACAGCACCCCCGAUGCGAGUUUCCACUUCAUCCAUCUCGCCCCAAUACGGUGCGAGACAUCCUCGUCAAUCUCACCGUUACUCUGGAUCACGGACCCGAGAUACUUGAACUUAUCCCUCUUCCCUACCUCCUGUGCUUCUAGCCUCACUACUACCUCAUUCUCCCGCCUCACGUCAUUAAACUUACAUUCCACAUACUCUGUC
This 935-nucleotide long non-coding RNA is filed under the name Capsicum annuum. RNAcentral describes it as "long non-coding RNA (CANN_LNC001171)". The record is from RNAcentral. Lineage: Eukaryota; Viridiplantae; Streptophyta; Magnoliopsida; Solanales; Solanaceae.